RNAcentral lists this transfer RNA (60 nucleotides) under Pelobates cultripes (western spadefoot toad). RNAcentral describes it as "tRNA.Cys". It matches the Rfam family "tRNA". From Rfam's summary of the family: Transfer RNA (tRNA) molecules are approximately 80 nucleotides in length. Lineage: Eukaryota; Metazoa; Chordata; Amphibia; Anura; Pelobatidae. The record is from RNAcentral.
GGGGGUAUAGCUCAGUGGUAGAGCAUUUGACUGCACAUCAAGAGGUCUCUGGUGCCCCCU